Oenanthe melanoleuca is the source of this 1624-nucleotide long non-coding RNA. RefSeq lists it as uncharacterized. The record is from RefSeq and is a predicted model, not a curated record. Lineage: Eukaryota; Metazoa; Chordata; Aves; Passeriformes; Muscicapidae. The transcript has 2 exons.
UGUGACCCUCUGCUCCCUGCAGGAGCAAUCCCUGCACUCCAACCCUGGCUGCAGCACAGACCCUGAUGUGACCCUCUGUACCCUGAUGUGACCCUCUGUGCCCUGCAGGAGCAAUCCCUGCACUCCAAACCUUGCUGCAGCACAGACCCUGAUGUGACCCUCUGUGCCCUGCAGGAGCAAUCCCUGCACUCCAAACCUUGCUGCAGCACAGACCCUGAUGUGACCCUCUGUGCCCUGCAGGAGCAAUCCCUGCACUCCAACCCUGGCUGCAGCACAGACCCUGAUGUGACCCUCUGUGCCCUGCAGGAGCAAUCCCUGCACUCCAACCCUGGCUGCAGCACAGACCCUGAUGUGACCCUCUGUGCCCUGCAGGAGCAAUUCCUGCACUCUAACCCUGGCUGCAGCACAGACCCUCUGUGACCCUCUGCUCCCUGCAGGAGCAAUCCCUGCACUCCAACCCUGGCUGCAGCACAGACCCUCUGUGACCCUCUGUGCCCUGCAGGAGCAAUCCCUGCACUCCAAACCUUGCUGCAGCACCUGGAAACUCCACUGAUGAACAAAUUCUCCACUGCAUGGGACAGGACAACAAGCCAGGUGGGUUUGUGGAAAAACACUGGGGAAACGCCUGCAAGGGGGUUUUAAUGCUGAGCUCUCUGCAGCCAUUUCCUAAAGCAUGAAUGAUUGAAUGGAAUGAACAACCUUUUUAUUUAAAAAUAAUGUCAGAACACUUAGAAAACUGUGAGCAAGACAUGUAGCACCGUAUUUUGCUCACAUCACUCACUGUAUGCAGUACACACAGCUGUGUACAGGAUCUGAGCUGUUAAUAACAAAAAAAAAUUCAGCUGGAAACAGAUUCUAGCAGCAGCAGCAAAUUGGAAAUGACUAUGAAUGGCUUUGUGUUAUAUACUAUUUUUCUGCCAUUACAAAAUGUUGUAAUGUCCAAUCAAUAGUUGACUAAAAUCAUUGUGCUUUGUCCCUGUUAAACAGUUUCUUUAUGUGUUCCUGAUGAAAAAUAAAAAGUGUCUCUCUUUUUCAGUAAUCCUGGAAAGCCAUAAUACUUCCAUAAAAAUUUAAUUUAAAGCACAGAACAUGUCAGUGUGCCAGGCCUAAAGUAUUAAGGAUUUAAAAAAAGAAGAAGAAAACAAUGACCAACAAACCCCUAAGCAUUUCCUUUCUAUACAAUAAUGGAGAAUAUAUAUCUUUGCUAUAUAUUUUAAACAUGGAAUAGCUUUUUCUUUUUGCUAUAUAUAUGUCUUUCAAAAUACAUUGUCAGUAUUUGUACUUGAAAAAUACUGUACAAAACGAACAUACUAUAAUUAUUCUGUAUAAACUUUAUACAUUUUAUAAUAUCUAUCCUUUUGGUCUAGAGUAAACACUUAGAUUGAUUGGAUUAACCACAGUAUAUGACAACACCAUCCCCCUCGGAAAUACACCAGUGUCUCUUACAUUCAUUUUUCAGAAGUCCACUUUAUAUUAGAACAGACAUGUUCAAAAGCAGAGAGUUUAAAACAAUAAAGUUCAGAACCAUCAGUUCAUGUCACACUCAAAACAACAAUCACUAGGAGAAAAUGGGCUUUGCAAACCAGUGACUUCUUCUAACUGAAUAAAAGUGAUUUUUUUUUUU